This 383-nucleotide long non-coding RNA is filed under the name Musa acuminata (dwarf banana). RNAcentral's name for it is "long non-coding RNA (MACU_LNC011372)". The record is from RNAcentral. Lineage: Eukaryota; Viridiplantae; Streptophyta; Magnoliopsida; Zingiberales; Musaceae.
CUCACUUUUGAAAAUUUAUUAAUAAGGAUUUAUAUGUAAAUUGGAGGACCUAUAUGUAAAUAUAAAAAUUUCAAGGACUAAACUGUUAAGUUGCAAAAAGAAAAAAAUAAAGAAAACCGAAAAUUUCGGUUUUAUCCCAUCGCCUCCCACGCUCUCUGUUUCGAACAGAGAGAGGAGCGGUGGGGCGUGGGGAGAAGAAGAGAGGAAGAAGAGGGAGAAGAGAAGAAGAAGAAGAAGAAGAGAGGAGGAUAGCUGUGGCAAGGCUGCAGCGAGGAGGUGUGCGGCGUUGGGGAGGAAAAGGGAAGAGGAGAAGAAGAGAAGGAGAAGAAGAGGGAAAAGAGAGGGAAGAGGGAGAGGAGCGAGAGGUGGCAGCAGCUAGGGCU